Molecule: ribosomal RNA, 492 nt
Filed under: uncultured bacterium
Lineage: Bacteria
Description: partial 16S ribosomal RNA
Rfam family: Bacterial small subunit ribosomal RNA
Source: RNAcentral
AGUGAACGCUGGCGGUAGGCCUAACACACGCAAGUCGAACGGUAGCACAUUAAGCGCUUGCGCUUACGGGUGGCGAGUAGCGUACCGGUGAGGAAUACAUCGGAAUCUACAUCUUCGCGGGGGAUCACGUAGGGAAACUUACGCUCAUACCGCAUAAGCCCUACGGGUGAAAGCAGCGGAUCUUCGGACCUUGCGCGAUCGAAUGAGCCGAUGUCGGAUUAGCUAGCUGGCGGGGUAAAGGCCCACCAAGGCGACGAUCCGUAGCUGGUCUGAGAGGAUGAUCAGCCACACUGGAACUGAGACACGGCCCAGACUCCUACGGGAGGCAGCAGUGGGGAAUAUUGGACAAAGGGCGCAAGCCUGAUCCAGCCAUGCCGCGUGCGUGAAGAAGGCCUUCGGGUUGUAAAGCGCUUUUGUUAGGGAAGAAAAGCUUCAGGUUAAUACCCCGCUCUUCUGACGGUACCCAAAGAAUAAGCACCGGCUAACUUCGUG